Molecule: ribosomal RNA, 549 nt
Filed under: uncultured Glomus
Lineage: Eukaryota; Fungi; Glomeromycota; Glomeromycetes; Glomerales; Glomeraceae
Description: SSU rRNA
Rfam family: Eukaryotic small subunit ribosomal RNA
Source: RNAcentral
UUGGAGGGCAAGUCUGGUGCCAGCAGCCGCGGUAAUUCCAGCUCCAAUAGCGUAUAUUAAAGUUGUUGCAGUUAAAAAGCUCGUAGUUGAAUUUCGGGGUCAGCAGGUUGGUCGUGCCAAUGGUAUGCACUGGCCUUGCUGAUUCCUCCCUCUUGAUGAGCCGUAAUGUCAUUAAUUUGGUGUUGCGGGGAAUCAGGACUGUUACUUUGAAAAAAUUAGAGUGUUUAAAGCAGGCAAGCGCUUGAAUACAUUGGCAUGGAAUAAUGAAAUAGGACGUUUGAUCCUAUUUUGUUGGUUUCUAGGAUUGACGUAAUGAUUAAUAGGGAUAGUUGGGGGCAUUAGUAUUCAAUUGUCAGAGGUGAAAUUCUUGGAUUUAUUGAAGACUAACUACUGCGAAAGCAUUUGCCAAGGAUGUUUUCAUUAAUCAAGAACGAAAGUUAGGGGAUCGAAGACGAUCAGAUACCGUCGUAGUCUUAACCAUAAACUAUGCCGACUAGGGAUCGGAUGAUGUUAAUUUUUUAAUGACUCAUUCGGCGCCUUACGGGAAAC